RNAcentral lists this ribosomal RNA (253 nucleotides) under uncultured bacterium. RNAcentral's name for it is "partial 16S ribosomal RNA". It matches the Rfam family "Bacterial small subunit ribosomal RNA", at positions 524 to 776 of the family's 1533-position model. The record is from RNAcentral.
UACGGAGGGGGCUAGCGUUGUUCGGAAUUACUGGGCGUAAAGCGCACGUAGGCGGCCUUGCAAGUCAGAGGUGAAAUCCCCAGGCUCAACCUGGGAAUUGCCUUUGAUACUGCGGGGCUAGAGGCCGGGAGAGGGUAGUGGAAUUCCCAGUGUAGAGGUGAAAUUCGUAGAUAUUGGGAAGAACACCGGUGGCGAAGGCGGCUACCUGGACCGGUACUGACGCUGAGGUGCGAAAGCGUGGGGAGCAAACAGG